AUUAAAAAAAAAAACAGGAGUUUAUUGGGCAAUUCCUAGUCUUGUAGAUAUGGGUUCCUGGAAAGCACUGAACAGUGAGGGCUGUGAUGGUUAAUAGGAACUUGACAGGAUACGGAACUGCUGAAGACACAUUGCUGAGCAUGUCUGUGAAGUUAUUACUAGAUUAGGUUAACUGAGGUAGAAAGACCCACCAUAAACAGGUAGAGCUGGAGUUUCGUGGACUGAAUAAAAGCUGAGCCCAACCAUUUGUCACUCUUGACUUCAUGGCAACACAUAUGACCAUUUCAAAUAAAGCCCCACAAGUCAAUGUAACCAAAUUAUGUUAGAAUAAAAGAGAUAAAAAAAAAAAGUAAGAUGCCAAGAAAAAAGUAUUCUAAGUGGCAAGUAGACAAAGCCUACCCUCCAGAUUGUUGAGAGAAUAUGGUGGACUGCUGUGUUUUCUGCUUCCUGCCAAAAUGGAGGAAGCAAGGGCCCAAUUUGCACUCUAGCAUAAAACACCACAGAAAAAUGUGAACAGGAAGUAAAUGCUGUGGACAGUGAUUUGUAAAAUCAAAGGGAAUUUAUGACUGCUUCAUUCCCUUCCUGGGCACAUAAAAUGGCCAGCAAGACAGGGCACCCUUGAAAUCUGAGUCACAACAGUGUAUGGUAGGCCAGGCUGGAGAGGACGGUUUGGUUCACACAUCACAGGUUUCCCUUCUGUCUUCAGCGAAGUUGAGCAGUGUAAUUACUGCCCAAGAAAAUCAAAAUAAUCGCCUGAAAGGACAGGUCAUUGAAAGCAAUCCUUAGAACUCACUGUGCCUGGGUCAGACACAGGCUCAGUGAUCAAUCCCUUGUAAUUCACAGGCUAUCAAAAAUGCUGACAGCCAGAAUUUGCUUCAGCAGCAAAGGUUGCUCACAAAGUUUAAACAAGCUUGUAAAAAAUAAAUAAAUAACUUAAUUGUAGGCUGUUAAUCAGCUCAAGAAGAAAGCACACAGGUUGAUUCCACCUUGGCUGUUAGGAUAUCAGUGCUGUGGUAACUCUGGGUGCAGUUAGCUCUUUGCUAUAUUGAUUUCACUGCUUUGGAUAUGAACGAAAAGGGCUCACUUUCUUUUCCCUCAGAGGCACAGAUGAAAAUAAAUGGAGAAACUAUCUCCUUCUCUAGAAUGGCCCUUAUUGAGCAGAAAACAACACAGCAGGUGUUGGUGAAAAUUUGCAGAAAAGAACUCUGACAUGCUACCAAUGGAAGUAAAAUUAGUAAGGCUAGGUGGACCAGAGAGUCAUCAUACACAGCGACAGACCAGCAUCUAGGACAGCUACCCACUGUACUUACGAGGCACCACUGCGUAAGCACCUUCAACUCAUUAGGAUUUCCUGUGAUUCCUCAUACAACUGAGUUUACAUCUAGAUCUUCCUUUUUGCCUGGUUUAAGGGGCCUCUUUCUAAAUCAAGAGUUCUCCUCUUCCCUCUUUUCCUACCUAGUUCUGAAUUAACUAUUCUUUAUGAUUCUUGUUUUAUAAAACCAAUAGAUGAUAGUGGCAUCUGUUUUUAAUACAGUGGGAAUAUAUAACCUUAGCAAUACUAAUGAAAAUAAACACAUGUAAAUACAAUUGUAAAAUAGUAUUUUAUUGUGUUUAGUAGAGUGUAACAUUUCAUAAUCUUGCAUAAUGUUCAAAUGUCUGUUUAUUUAGUUAUGUGAAAAUCACCACAUCUCGCCUCAUCUGGCCUCGUCUUGUCUCAUCCAUCUUGUUUUCCUAUCAGGG
Molecule: small RNA, 1740 nt
Filed under: Rattus norvegicus (Norway rat)
Lineage: Eukaryota; Metazoa; Chordata; Mammalia; Rodentia; Muridae
Description: uncharacterized LOC103694421
Source: RNAcentral